RNAcentral lists this long non-coding RNA (810 nucleotides) under Mus caroli (Ryukyu mouse). RNAcentral's name for it is "predicted gene 27209 (MGP_CAROLIEiJ_G0002943.1)". Lineage: Eukaryota; Metazoa; Chordata; Mammalia; Rodentia; Muridae. The record is from RNAcentral.
CAGGUGCCCCGAGGAACAACUUGACCUAGAACUGCCUAGCUUGUAGUGUUUUGAGCUGAACUUUUGUUUACCAGAGACCUGAUUUAUGGUAUUUUUGAUAUAGCAGCUGCAAAAAAUAUAAAUUCACACGAUAGAGGGCUUACCAGUUUCACCAUUUCAUUGUAUUACGCGUCUCUCUUUUUGCAAUGCUGAGGAUAGAACUCAAGGCUCUGUGUGUACUAGACAGCGCUCAUCACUGCGCCCCAUCCCCAACAUCUACUUUUUUAGUUGCAAUGUAUUCCAGCCUGGCCUGGAACUCCCUGAAAUGACUGCAAACUUCCAGUCUUCCUGCCUCUCAAGCCCAAGUGCUGCGCUUACAGGUGCACACACUUAGCUGAUGGGACCUUGGGAAGGAAUGAUGGACUGGCACUACCCCAAUGGAGUUACAUCCCCCGUCCUAUUAUUGCUAUCAUUUUAACUGAAAUAAAGCAUGUGUACAAGAUGUUUUAAAUCAUAAAACAUUAUGAAAUGUAAAAGAUUACUGUUAUAAUUUUAUUUACUGGACAUGGAAGCAUUUGCUCUCUCAUGGAAUGACUGCCUAAGUACUAAAGUUACAAUGUCAAAAUAAGUCUUGGAGGGGAAUAAGAGUUUAUACCAGUUUUGGUUUUUCUUCUCUUCCCUCUCCUCUCAGACACAGGGUCUCUCUGAAUAGCCUUGGCUGUCCUGGAAUUCACUAAGUAGACCAGGCUGGCCUUGAACUCCCAGAGAUCCACCUACCUCUGCCUCUCCAGUACUGGGAUGAAAGGCCUGUACCACUCCCUAGCCUUUUUU